ACAUACAUGGAUAAUAUUUAUUAGAGAGGAAAAUAUAUAUAUAUAAAUCUAAACAUGAUUAGUAUAAUGGUUAUACUUUGCAUUUAAGAUAUACUUUAAAAUGUAUAUCUUUCUAACUUAAUUUCAGUCAGACCAUGUGAUAUUAACCUCCAUUCUUAUUUCUCUGACAAAAGGUGAUCUGUGAUCUGGACUUUAAUUCUUGUCCUCAUUCACCAUGAGAUGGAAGUCCCUCUGUUUGAGUUAACACAUACUAGAUUUUAGAGAUAGGAAGCAUCAACGAUAUCUAUGUGUUUAAUGUCUUAGUUAAAGUGGUUUAACCCCUUAAGGACACAUGACAUGUGUGACAUGUCAUGAUUCCCUUUUAUUCCAGAAGUCUGGUCCUUAAGGGGUUAAGUGUUUUGAAGUUGGAACUUGAAUUAGUUCAUAAGGCAUUUUGGGUGUCAAUGAACAACUUGCUGUCUCAACUUCUCUCAAUGUCAAUUUUUUUCAGCUAUUUGGUUUAAAAUUGCUACACAAAUGGCCGUGAAACAUUGUUUUCUUAGUUGUGACCUGUACUGUUUGUAGCAGAAUAAUAGUCAUAUUUUCUGGGAUAAGAUAUCUGACAUUAUGUCAAAUCUGGCCUUGGCGGCAGUAAGGGGUCUCUGUGUCACACUUGCCAAGACUGAAAUUCAACUGGUCAGUAACUACUAGGUGAGUGGAACAUUUGAAUUCUGCUCUAAUAUUUCAAAACUGAUAUUUAUUGAUGUUCUUUCAAGUGAUAAAUGAUUUAGAAUUUAUGGUAUAAUAGGGAAUCUCCUAAAAGGACUCGCUGUCUGUCUUUCUGUACUGAUUAUACUUUAUUAAAUUGUUAUUUAUUGCAAUAUUCUUGCACCCCCUGAAUUGUACCUUAACGGUUACCAUUUUAAGUGCUAUUCAUUAAGCCACAAAUGCCAACAUUUGGAACAAUCCUGGAGCAUUUUGAUGCCAAUCAAUCACGUAAACCAGUUAGAGAGAUUUGACCAUGUACAGUGACUCCUUUAACUCCUUAAGGAUCAAACUUCUGGAAUAAAAGGGAAUCAUGACAUGUCACACAUGUAAUGUGUCCUUAAGGGUUUACAAUCAUUGUGGAACUUGAAAAGGUGUGCAUUAGUGUAUAUUUUCGUGUAUAUGUGAAAG
Pelobates cultripes (western spadefoot toad) is the source of this 1155-nucleotide non-coding RNA. Lineage: Eukaryota; Metazoa; Chordata; Amphibia; Anura; Pelobatidae. The record is from the annotation of a GenBank genome assembly.